This 636-nucleotide ribosomal RNA is filed under the name Micrococcus sp. Its description in RNAcentral is "bacterial SSU rRNA". It matches the Rfam family "Bacterial small subunit ribosomal RNA", at positions 374 to 1019 of the family's 1533-position model. Lineage: Bacteria; Bacillati; Actinomycetota; Actinomycetes; Micrococcales; Micrococcaceae. The record is from RNAcentral.
GGCGCAAGCCUGAUGCAGCGACGCCGCGUGAGGGAUGACGGCCUUCGGGUUGUAAACCUCUUUCAGUAGGGAAGAAGCGAAAGUGACGGUACCUGCAGAAGAAGCACCGGCUAACUACGUGCCAGCAGCCGCGGUAAUACGUAGGGUGCGAGCGUUAUCCGGAAUUAUUGGGCGUAAAGAGCUCGUAGGCGGUUUGUCGCGUCUGUCGUGAAAGUCCGGGGCUUAACCCCGGAUCUGCGGUGGGUACGGGCAGACUAGAGUGCAGUAGGGGAGACUGGAAUUCCUGGUGUAGCGGUGGAAUGCGCAGAUAUCAGGAGGAACACCGAUGGCGAAGGCAGGUCUCUGGGCUGUAACUGACGCUGAGGAGCGAAAGCAUGGGGAGCGAACAGGAUUAGAUACCCUGGUAGUCCAUGCCGUAAACGUUGGGCACUAGGUGUGGGGACCAUUCCACGGUUUCCGCGCCGCAGCUAACGCAUUAAGUGCCCCGCCUGGGGAGUACGGCCGCAAGGCUAAAACUCAAAGGAAUUGACGGGGGCCCGCACAAGCGGCGGAGCAUGCGGAUUAAUUCGAUGCAACGCGAAGAACCUUACCAAGGCUUGACAUGUUCUCGAUCGCCGUGGAGAUACGGUUUCCCCU